CGGGAAGUGGCGCAGUCCGGUUAGCGCGCGUGCCUUGGGCGCACGAGGCCGCGGGUUCAAAUCCCGCCUUCCCGA
This 75-nucleotide transfer RNA is filed under the name bacterium. RNAcentral describes it as "tRNA-Pro". It matches the Rfam family "tRNA". Rfam says of the family: Transfer RNA (tRNA) molecules are approximately 80 nucleotides in length. Their secondary structure includes four short double-helical elements and three loops (D, anti-codon, and T loops). Further hydrogen bonds mediate the characteristic L-shaped molecular structure. tRNAs have two regions of fundamental functional importance: the anti-codon, which is responsible for specific mRNA codon recognition, and the 3' end, to which the tRNAs corresponding amino acid is attached (by aminoacyl-tRNA synthetases). tRNAs cope with the degeneracy of the genetic code in two manners: having more than one tRNA (with a specific anti-codon) for a particular amino acid; and 'wobble' base-pairing, i.e. permitting non-standard base-pairing at the 3rd anti-codon position. The record is from RNAcentral.